GACGAACGCUGGCGGCGUGCUUAACACAUGCAAGUCGAACGGAAAGGCCCUGCUUUUGUGGGGUGCUCGAGUGGCGAACGGGUGAGUAACACGUGAGUAACCUGCCCUUGACUUUGGGAUAACUUCAGGAAACUGGGGCUAAUACCGGAUAGGAGCUCCUGCUGCAUGGUGGGGGUUGGAAAGUUUCGGCGGUUGGGGAUGGACUCGCGGCUUAUCAGCUUGUUGGUGGGGUAGUGGAUUACCAAGGCUUUGACGGGUAGCCGGCCUGAGAGGGUGACCGGCCACAUUGGGACUGAGAUACGGCCCAGACCACUCCGGGAGGCAGAAGUGGGGAAUAUUGCACAAUGGGCGGAAGCCUGAUGCAGCAACGCCGCGUGCGGGAUGACGGCCUUCGGGUUGUAAACCGCUUUCGCCUGUGACGAAGCGUGAGUGACGGUAAUGGGUAAAGAAGCACCGGCUAACUACGUG
This 468-nucleotide ribosomal RNA is filed under the name uncultured bacterium. RNAcentral's name for it is "partial 16S ribosomal RNA". It matches the Rfam family "Bacterial small subunit ribosomal RNA", at positions 28 to 507 of the family's 1533-position model. The record is from RNAcentral.